GAUGAACGCUAGCGGGAGGCCUAACACAUGCAAGCCGAGCGGUAUUGUUUCUUCGGAAAUGCGAGAGCGGCGUACGGGUGCGUAACACGUGUGCAACCUGCCUUUAUCUGGGGGAUAGCCUUUCGAAAGGAAGAUUAAUACUCCAUAAUAUAUUGAACGGCAUCGUUUAAUAUUGAAAGCUCCGGCGGAUAGAGAUGGGCACGCGCAAGAUUAGCUAGUUGGUGAGGUAACGGCUCACCAAGGCGAUGAUCUUUAGGGGGCCUGAGAGGGUGAUCCCCCACACUGGUACUGAGACACGGACCAGACUCCUACGGGAGGCAGCCGUGAGGAAUAUUGGUCAAUGGGUGCAAGCCUGAACCAGCCAUCCCGCGUGAAGGACGACUGCCCUAUGGGUUGUAAACUUCUUUUGUAUAGGGAUAAACCUACCCUCGAGAGGGUAGCUGAAGGUACUAUACGAAUAAGCACCGGCUAACUCCGUG
Molecule: ribosomal RNA, 479 nt
Filed under: uncultured bacterium
Lineage: Bacteria
Description: partial 16S ribosomal RNA
Rfam family: Bacterial small subunit ribosomal RNA
Source: RNAcentral